GAUGAACGCUAGCGGCAGGCUUAAUACAUGCAAGUCGAGGGGCAGCGCAGUGUAGCAAUACAUAGGCGGCGACCGGCAAACGGGUGCGGAACACGUACAGAACCUUCCUUCGAGCGGGGAAUAGCCCAGAGAAAUUUGGAUUAAUACCCCAUAGUAUAGUGGAGAGGCAUCUCUUUACUAUUAAAGAUUUAUCACUUGAAGAUGGCUGUGCGGCUGAUAGGUAGUUGGCGGGGUAACGGCCCACCAAGCCUGCGAUCAGUAACUGGUGUGAGAGCACGACCAGUCACACGGGCACUGAGACACGGGCCCGACUCCUACGGGAGGCAGCAGUGGGGAAUUUUGGACAAUGGGGGCAACCCUGAUCCAGCCAUGCCGCGUGAGGGAAGAAGGCCU
This 393-nucleotide ribosomal RNA is filed under the name uncultured bacterium. RNAcentral's name for it is "bacterial SSU rRNA". It matches the Rfam family "Bacterial small subunit ribosomal RNA", at positions 28 to 417 of the family's 1533-position model. The record is from RNAcentral.